Molecule: ribosomal RNA, 256 nt
Filed under: uncultured bacterium
Lineage: Bacteria
Description: partial 16S ribosomal RNA
Rfam family: Bacterial small subunit ribosomal RNA
Source: RNAcentral
CAAUAUAAGUGAUGGCGACCGGCGCACGGGUGAGUAACACGUAUCCAACCUGCCGAUAACUCGGGGAUAGCCUUUCGAAAGAAAGAUUAAUACCCGAUGGUAUAAUAAAACCGCAUGGUUUAAUUAUUAAAGAAUUUCGGUUAUCGAUGGGGAUGCGUUCCAUUAGGCAGUUGGUGGGGUAACGGCUCACCAAACCUUCGAUGGAUAGGGGUUCUGAGAGGAAGGUCCCCCACAUUGGAACUGAGACACGGUCCAA